GGCCGCGGGAAUUCGAUUCAGGCCUAACACAUGCAAGUCGAGCGGUAGAGAGAAGCUUGCUUCUCUUGAGAGCGGCGGACGGGUGAGUAAUGCCUAGGAAUCUGCCUGGUAGUGGGGGAUAACGUUCGGAAACGGACGCUAAUACCGCAUACGUCCUACGGGAGAAAGCAGGGGACCUUCGGGCCUUGCGCUAUCAGAUGAGCCUAGGUCGGAUUAGCUAGUUGGUGAGGUAAUGGCUCACCAAGGCGACGAUCCGUAACUGGUCUGAGAGGAUGAUCAGUCACACUGGAACUGAGACACGGUCCAGACUCCUACGGGAGGCAGCAGUGGGGAAUAUUGGACAAUGGGCGAAAGCCUGAUCCAGAAAGGCCGCGUGUGUGAAGAAGGUCUUCGGAUUGUAAAGCAAGGGAAGUUGGGAGGAAGGGCAGUUACCUAAUACGUGAUUGUUUGACGUACCGACAGA
RNAcentral lists this ribosomal RNA (463 nucleotides) under uncultured bacterium. Its description in RNAcentral is "bacterial SSU rRNA". It matches the Rfam family "Bacterial small subunit ribosomal RNA", at positions 34 to 485 of the family's 1533-position model. The record is from RNAcentral.